Molecule: ribosomal RNA, 502 nt
Filed under: uncultured bacterium
Lineage: Bacteria
Description: partial 16S ribosomal RNA
Rfam family: Bacterial small subunit ribosomal RNA
Source: RNAcentral
GACGAACGCUGGCGGCGUGCUUAACACAUGCAAGUCGAACGGUGAAGGGGUCUGCUUUUGUGGGCCCUGGAUGAGUGGCGAACGGGUGAGUAACACGUGAGUAACCUGCCCCCUUCUUCUGGAUAACCGCAUGAAAGUGUGGCUAAUACGGGAUAUUCUGGGUCUGUCGCAUGAUGGGUCUGGGAAAGAUUGCGCCUUUGGGUGUUUUUGGUGGGGGAUGGGCUCGCGGCCUAUCAGCUUGUUGGUGGGGUGAUGGCCUACCAAGGCGGUGACGGGUAGCCGGCCUGAGAGGGUGGACGGUCACACUGGGACUGAGACACGGCCCAGACUCCUACGGGAGGCAGCAGUGGCGAAUAUUGCACAAUGGGCGCAAGCCUGAUGCAGCGACGCCGCGUGAGGGAUGGAGGCCUUCGGGUUGUAAACCUCUUUCGCCAGUGAAGCAGGCCUGCUCCUUGUGGGUGGGUUGACGGUAGCUGGAUAAGAAGCGCCGGCUAACUACGUG